GAAAGACAAUCGCGAGCCCGUUUCUGGGCUUGAGGAAAGUCCGGGCUCCACAGGGCAGCGUGCUGGAUAACGUCCAGUGAGGGUGACCUUAAGGAAAGUGUCAUAGAAACGAAAACCGCCACAAGGCUUGGCCUGAGGACAGCUUGCUGUCGUGGUAAGGAUGGAAAGGCGAGGUAAGAGCUCACCAGUGGCUAGGUGACUAGUCAGCUUGAUAAACCCCACGUGGAGCAAGACCGAAUAGGGAAGGGUUUGAGGUGGCCCGCUGAGCCUUCCGGGUGUGUCGCUUAGAAUUGCCAGGCAACUGGUAAUCCAGAUAAAUGAUUGUCGCCACUUUUGUGGAACAGAACUCGGCUUAUUGAUU
RNAcentral lists this RNase P RNA (361 nucleotides) under pig gut metagenome. Its description in RNAcentral is "Bacterial RNase P class A". It matches the Rfam family "Bacterial RNase P class A". Rfam says of the family: Ribonuclease P (RNase P) is a ubiquitous endoribonuclease, found in archaea, bacteria and eukarya as well as chloroplasts and mitochondria. Its best characterised activity is the generation of mature 5'-ends of tRNAs by cleaving the 5'-leader elements of precursor-tRNAs. Cellular RNase Ps are ribonucleoproteins. The record is from RNAcentral.